Molecule: unclassified non-coding RNA, 222 nt
Filed under: plant metagenome
Description: partial contains small subunit ribosomal RNA, internal transcribed spacer 1, and 5.8S ribosomal RNA
Source: RNAcentral
UCUCCGUUGGUGAACCAGCGGAGGGAUCAUUACCGAGUUAUCAACUCCCAAACCCUGUGAACAUACCCAACGUUGCUUCGGCGGGACCGCCCCGGCGCCCUCGGCGUCCCGGAACCAGGCGCCCGCCGGAGGACCCAAACUCUUGUUUAAACCAUAGUGGCAUAUUCUGAGUCUCACAAGAAAAAUGAAUCAAAACUUUCAACAACGGAUCUCUUGGCUCUG